RNAcentral lists this ribosomal RNA (811 nucleotides) under Dicephalospora rufocornea. Its description in RNAcentral is "partial large subunit ribosomal RNA". It matches the Rfam family "Eukaryotic large subunit ribosomal RNA", at positions 99 to 927 of the family's 3401-position model. The record is from RNAcentral. Lineage: Eukaryota; Fungi; Ascomycota; Leotiomycetes; Helotiales; Helotiaceae.
CGGUAACAGCUCAAAUUUGAAAUCUGGCCCUUUUAGGGUCCGAGUUGUAAUUUGUAGAAGAUGCUUUGGGUGUGGCUCCGGUCUAAGUUCCUUGGAACAGGACGUCAUAGAGGGUGAGAAUCCCGUAUGUGACUGGCGGCCUUCGCCCGUGUAAAGCUCUUUCGACGAGUCGAGUUGUUUGGGAAUGCAGCUCUAAAUGGGAGGUAUAUUUCUUCUAAAGCUAAAUACUGGCCAGAGACCGAUAGCGCACAAGUAGAGUGAUCGAAAGAUGAAAAGCACUUUGGAAAGAGAGUUAAACAGUACGUGAAAUUGUUGAAAGGGAAGCGCUUGCAACCAGACUUGCAUGCCGUCGAUCAUCGUGGGUUCUCCCGCGUGCACUCGGCGGCGUUCAGGCCAGCAUCGGUUCCGGUGGUUGGAUAAAGGCCUUGGGAAUGUGGCUCCUCUCGGGGAGUGUUAUAGCCCUCGGUGCAAUGCAGCCUACUGGGACCGAGGACCGCGCUUCGGCUAGGAUGCUGGCGUAAUGGUUGUAAGCGACCCGUCUUGAAACACGGACCAAGGAGUCUAACAUCUAUGCGAGUGUUAGGGUGUUAAACCCUUCCGCGAAAUUAACGUGAACGGAGGUACGAACCCUUUAGGGCGCAGUAUCGACCGGUCCUGAUGUCUUCGGAUGGAUCUGAGUAAGAGCAUAGCUGUUGGGACCCGAAAGAUGGUGAACUAUGCCUGAAUAGGGUGAAGCCAGAGGAAACUCUGGUGGAGGCUCGCAGCGGUUCUGACGUGCAAAUCGAUCGUCAAAUUAGGGCAUAGGGGCGAA